AGACCGGUCCAGAACUCCCGCUGCAGACCACAUGGGGCGGGUCUGACUCCGGUUUCCCGCUCCCCAAGCUGGAGGCCGACUUCCCCAGACACAGAGAUGAUGGUAACCAAACAGAAGGGAAAUGCCCGGACCCAAGGCCCUCUCCACGCGGCCCCCUAGCCUCCGGGCGCCAGGGUCUGGGUGCGCUCCCACGCCCCAGGCCGCACUCUGGCCGUUCCCGAUGGGGCCCUCUUUGAUCGCGGCCCCCACACCCUCGCUUUCCUUACCGGUCAGGGUGAGUGUCAAGUUUGCGCACUUCGAGGGUCUCCGCCGAUCUCUGAUCGAAAGAAGGGGGAGGGAAAGCUGGGGUUAAAGGGGUGGCCGGAAGGGCCACCAGACUGGAAAAGCCGAAGCUGCGGAUGGACAAACCGCCAAAGCACUUUCGCAGCUUUCCGAGGGGGAGCGAGCGAGCGAGAAAAAGAAGCAAGAUGGCGGCUAGCCAGCCCCUACGUACUACGUCAUGACGCUAAGUACGUAGGUCAAAUCUCCGCAAGACCACACUCCUGCGCAGAGACGGCCGGAUCACGUGAAGCCUCCGUGGCGGCCCAACCCCGACAGAGGGUGCUGGCGCUUCCUGCUGGACGGAGGGAGUUUCUGCAAUCAGAAUUAUCUUUUCAGGACAAAGCUUGGACCUGAGACCUUUCUAAGAAGUCUUGAAUUGACCACGUUUACAAGUUGAUAAUAAGCCUCAGUGAAAUGAGCACUCUUAUGUCUGGUGGGUGGAUGUGUAAAUGGUUGAACCAGCAGUUCGCCAGUAUGUCUCAGUGAAUUUGGGGCAAGCUGAGAAGUCUUGGUGUAUUGAAAAGUUAUCACAGAGAGUGAAAGUAAAACUAGUGUGAGGAACAGAGUAGCAUGGGCUGCUGAGAGCACUUUUUAAGUUUCUAAUUAUGGAUGUGAGAUAAGCCAUUCAGUUUAUUUAUAUGAUCUCUCCAUCACAGUGUUCAGCUCCGUUGAAUAGUAAGAUUCACCCAUGCUGGCUUUUACUAGGCAAGUGUAACAUAGGCAGAUGAGUGUAUCUGGAAGUGGGAGACUACAAUGAUGAUAAUAUUAUGUCAGAACAGAUGGCGAAUGUUUAGUAAAUGGUAUCUUUUGUCCUCUUUGUGAACUACCUAUGACAUAUUUAAAAUUCAAGGAUUUCUUACCACUUCUGGUCUGAACGAUCUUCCCCGCCAGUAGCUGGUGUAUGUCCAUGGAAUUGUCACUGUAGCAAUGUUAGAAUAAAUGAAAUAAUAAAGAGAGGUAAAUUAUGAACACCUCCCUCCCCACUAAUAUUAAUUUGAAGUAGAAAAGUCUGGACUUGCUUGGUGGCUCAUGCCUGUAAUACUAAUACUUUGGUAGGUCAAGGCAAAAGGAUUGCUUGAGACCAGGAGUUCAAGACCAAUCUGGGCAACAUAGUGAGACCCUACCUCUGCAAAAAAAUUAAAAAGAAAAAAAGCUAGCUAGGCAUAGUGGCACAUGCUUAUAGUCCUAGCUACCUGGGAGGCUGGAGGCAAAAGGAUCACUUGAGCACAGGAGGUUGAGGCUGCAGCGAGACUCUUUCUCGAAAAAAUAGAAAAGAAGAAAAGAAAAAGUUUUUUUAUUGAUAUAGGGUCAUUGCCAGGGGAAAGCCUACUGAUCAUCCACAAGAGGACAAGGAAGCAUUACUUUAGUGAAUUUCUACAACCUUCUAGGAUCUGGUCUAUAGUGUCCUGGUCACAGAAACAUCUUUCUUUGUUUUUUUGGAGGCAGGGUCUCACUUUGCUGCCCAGGCUGGAGUGUAGUG
Molecule: long non-coding RNA, 1801 nt
Filed under: Homo sapiens (human)
Lineage: Eukaryota; Metazoa; Chordata; Mammalia; Primates; Hominidae
Description: non-protein coding lnc-MYOC-7:1
Source: RNAcentral